UACGGGGGGGGCAAGCGUUGUUCGGAAUUACUGGGCGUAAAGGGCUCGUAGGCGGCCAACUAAGUCAGACGUGAAAUCCCUCGGCUUAACCGGGGAACUGCGUCUGAUACUGGACGGCUUGAGUUUGGGAGAGGGAUGCGGAAUUCCAGGUGUAGCGGUGAAAUGCGUAGAUAUCUGGAGGAACACCGGUGGCGAAGGCGGCAUCCUGGACCAACACUGACGCUGAGGAGCGAAAGCCAGGGGAGCAAACAGG
Molecule: ribosomal RNA, 253 nt
Filed under: uncultured bacterium
Lineage: Bacteria
Description: partial 16S ribosomal RNA
Rfam family: Bacterial small subunit ribosomal RNA
Source: RNAcentral